Molecule: ribosomal RNA, 901 nt
Filed under: uncultured bacterium
Lineage: Bacteria
Description: bacterial SSU rRNA
Rfam family: Bacterial small subunit ribosomal RNA
Source: RNAcentral
UCGAACGCUUUGUUUUUAAUUGAUAUGAAGAGCUUGCUCUGAUUUGAUUUUAUCUGACAAAGAGUGGCGAACGGGUGAGUAACACGUGGGUAACCUACCUCUUAGCAGGGGAUAACUUUUGGAAACAAGUGCUAAUACCGUAUAACACUAACAACCGCAUGGUUGUUAGUUGAAAGAUGGUUCUGCUAUCACUAAGAGAUGGACCCGCGGUGCAUUAGCUAGUUGGUAAGGUAAUGGCUUACCAAGGCGAUGAUGCGUAGCCGAGUUGAGAGACUGAUCGGCCACAAUGGGACUGAGACACGGCCCAUACUCCUACGGGAGGCAGCAGUAGGGAAUCUUCCACAAUGGGCGCAAGCCUGAUGGAGCAACGCCGCGUGUGUGAUGAAGGGUUUCGGCUCGUAAAACACUGUUAUAAGAGAAGAACGACAUUGAGAGUAACUGUUCAGUGUGUGACGGUAUCUUAUCAGAAAGGAACGGCUAAAUACGUGCCAGCAGCCGCGGUAAUACGUAUGUUCCAAGCGUUAUCCGGAUUUAUUGGGCGUAAAGCGAGCGCAGACGGUUAUUUAAGUCUGAAGUGAAAGCCCUCAGCUCAACUGAGGAAGGGCUUUGGAAACUGGAUAACUUGAGUGCAGUAGAGGAAAGUGGAACUCCAUGUGUAGCGGUGAAAUGCGUAGAUAUAUGGAAGAACACCGGUGGCGAAAGCGGCUUUCUGGACUGUAACUGACGUUGAGGCUCGAAAGUGUGGGUAGCAAACAGGAUUAGAUACCCUGGUAGUCCACACCGUAAACGAUGAGUGCUAGAUGUUCGAGGGUUUCCGCCCUUGAGUGUCGCAGCUAACGCAUUAAGCACUCCGCCUGGGGAGUACGACCGCAAGGUUGAAACUCAAAGGAAUUGACGGGGA